Molecule: ribosomal RNA, 467 nt
Filed under: uncultured Aminicenantes bacterium
Lineage: Bacteria; Candidatus Aminicenantota
Description: bacterial SSU rRNA
Rfam family: Bacterial small subunit ribosomal RNA
Source: RNAcentral
GCACAAGCGGUGGAGCAUGUGGUUUAAUUCGACGCUACGCGAAGAACCUUACCUGGGCUUGAACUGCUGGUGGUAGAAGCCCGAAAGGGUAACGACCCGGAGCAAUCCGGGAGCCAGUAGAGGUGCUGCAUGGCUGUCGUCAGCUCGUGUCGUGAGAUGUUGGGUUAAGUCCCGCAACGAGCGCAACCCUUACCCUUAGUUGCCAGCGGGUAAUGCCGGGCACUCUAAGGGGACCGCCCCGGAUAACGGGGAGGAAGGCGGGGAUGACGUCAAGUCAGCAUGGCCCUUAUGUCCAGGGCUACACACGUGCUACAAUGGGCGAUACAGAGGGAAGCAAGGCCGCAAGGUAGAGCUAAUCCCUAAAGUCGUCCUCAGUUCGGAUUGCAGGCUGCAACUCGCCUGCAUGAAGUCGGAAUCGCUAGUAAUCGCGGAUCAGCUACGCCGCGGUGAAUACGUUCUCGGGCCUU